This 5902-nucleotide long non-coding RNA is filed under the name Homo sapiens (human). Its description in RNAcentral is "long non-coding RNA NONHSAT194638.1". The record is from RNAcentral. Lineage: Eukaryota; Metazoa; Chordata; Mammalia; Primates; Hominidae.
CACCGCACCUGUCCUGAACUCAUUUUUUAAAGUUAGUUUUAAAUUAUCAUUUCUUGCCAGUUGUAAUAAAUGUUACAUAUAAACAAGAAUGUGACAUGUCUAUUUUCAAGAAAUUCUAUCUAGCCCGUAAAUAUUCACUCCAGAAGAAACAUCUGAAAAAAUAUACAGCUCAGUGGAGAUUGGACUGCUUAUUUCCUCCAUAUCUUGAAAAAUGUAUCUGUUCAGAAAUAAGAACAUAUUAUACAUUCAGGAGAUUAAAGCAAUGUUAUCAAUUUUGUUUCUCACAAUGCUAAGUUAAAUAUGUAAUUAUCUUAUAAGUUACACAAAUAAGCAAAUGAGAAAUCAAAAAAAAGUCUAUGGUGAAAGAGAAUUAAAAACAUUGAACAUAUUGCCAUAACAUGCCACAUUCACACUCAAAAUACUCUUUAUUCAUUAUACUUAGUUGUCUAAGUAGUUCCCUACUGACUGUAACGAUGCAUUCCAAAAGUUGGAGACUAGAACACAUACAGUGGGAUCCAUAUUAAAUUUGGUAGUUGAGUUUAUAAGAUAUGCCUUAGAAGCCUGUACCUAACCUAUGAUAGAACUGGGCUAGCCUUGGAACCUCGGCACUGUUUAUAACAUUGUUACUAAGGAGAAAUACAUUUCAAAACACAGCUCAGAAAGUCACUUAACACCCUCCCUCCACACUUUCAUUCCAUUUGGUUCACAAGAGGAAGGGAACACAUGGCUGAGGAAUGCUCUUGCACUCCAGAGAAUGCAAGUUCCCUGACCACAGAGGUUGGGUCUUUUAAAGAACCUACUGUGUGCUGAGCGCUGUUGUAAGCACUGAGAAAUAAAGAACAAGAGAGGCGAAGUCCCUGAUGUCUCGGAGUUUAUGGUCUUAUGCGGUUCCUAAAAAUGAAGGUUAAAAGAAACUUGAACUGGAUUCCAUUUUAUCACACGCCUGGAAUGCUGAAAAUGCUGUGGCAAAGUCAUCCAUUCAUUCAUCUAAGUGAAAAGCCUAUAAAAUCAUAGGCAUCUUCAGCCAUAUCCUUAAAUUUCACCAUUUUACGUUUCACCAAAGUUAUAUUGGCAUUAUCUUUUGUGCUGGAAACAAAGUUAAUUGUCUUCUGCAGGAUACUUAAAAUAAAAUGGGCAAUCUCAGUUUAUUUUAUGAUAUUUAAGAGGCUAAAAUGAGCUUGUUCCACAAAUAGCCUUCCUAGUAAAUCCUGGGAAGUCAUGAGAGGGCUGUGUGACGGUAGCACACACCUACAGUAGAUGGCAUUGUGCAUUUGGCUUGGCCACAGCAAGUGUUUACUAAACUAGGGGUGGGUUGUCACAACAGACUCCAAGGUCAUGCAGAAAAUUAAUAUCAAUAAUUAAUAUCUUUGUAUGGUUUUACAUGGUACUUCACGUUUUUAGAUGAUUUAUAAUUAGUUAUCAUCCAUCCUUGAUAUGUUAUUGCCAUAAUUCAGGACCUCCAUAUCUCUUACCUGGACUACUUCUAAAUAGGUUCUCAUCUCACUCCAGCCCAUCCUCACCAUCACAUGUUCUCUUGACAAUGCAUCUUGGAGCCUGUCACUCCUGUUAUUUAUCUAUAGAAUGUUCUAUCUCUUGUUUCUUGGUUCUCACCUCCUACUACCUUCCCACAUUCACUGCUUAACACAGCCACAUGGAGUUUUGUGCCAUUCUCCAAACAUACUGUUUGGUUCUAAGCUCUGUUUCUUCACUGUUCUUCAUGAGUAUCUUCAAAGUCUCUGCCUUGCCUGACUGGCAAGCUCUCACAAGAACUGGGAAAUCAAGCCACAACUUUAUCUCUUCUGUGGAAGCCUUUUGGGAAAGUUCCAGGGUUGGCCUUUCUAUCUUUUGUGUUAUCUUAACCUUUGUACAUACUUUUAUUGUCAUUCUUAUCACCAUUGUCUCUUUCCAAAUCUGGGUUCCCCUCUCUCCACUAUCACCCCCAAAUAGAAAUUGAGUUCCUCCAGGGAAGAUACUCUUUCACAGUCAUCUUGGUAUCCCCAGAAUCUGGCAAGUGUUCAAUUAAAGAAACUGAUGAGCUCAAUUGAUUAUUAAAAGAACUUUUGUUCCUGUUUGAGGUAGAGAAAGUAGAAUACAACAAAGCAGAAACAAUGUUAUUUCACCUAAAUCAGAGGUGAGAAAUCUAUUUUACUGUGAGCCAAUUAUGAAAAUUUAAAGAUGCUCACUGGUUAUAUUUUUAAAUUAUUUAAAACAAAAAUAUUUCUACUGAAUGAAAGAAUUUCAAUGUGAAAAUAGGCACUUCCUGUUAUAGGCACUAAACUGUUAAAAUGUGAGCAGAUGUGAGAAGCAGCAGCACAGAGAUGGUUUUCUGAGCUUUGAUCAAAGCUUAGAAGUGGCAGAUUGCUCUUCAUCAACCAGGAUCAUUUAUUCUUGGCACCAAGUCUUGGCACUUAGAUUACAGAGGAUCAGAGGACCACAUGGUCCUUGUUCCUUAGGGAGGCCUUUCUUCAAAGGUUGACUUUCUUUGCCAUCCUCUCUCUGCAAGGGGUCUCUCUGGCCUCUCUAACUUAGUGGAUUUUUCCUUCCCCCCUCCCUCCACUUUUGUGAGUCAGGUGUUAGAGUUAAUACUUAGCAAAGAAAAUAUAUACACAUAUUAAAGUUGAUCAUUAGCAGCCUCAUAUAAAUAACACCCUGGGGAAAAUGCCUAAAUCUAUGAAUAGUUGCUUAUAAACUAUGAUUCACAGGGUCUCAAGGGGUUAUGUAGCAAUUUGGGAGACUGGUUGGAUGGGGCAUGUUUUGACUAUUCCAUCACCUACAGGUCUUGAGCGUUCCUGAAGUCUUCUCAUGGUACUAGGCCAUAUGUGACACAUAAGCAUUCAAGUUGUGUCUACAGGACAUCAAAAUAGCUAUCUAAUUGGACUAAAUAAAUUAUCUUUAAAGCCUAUCUUUCUAGGAUAGGAAAACUGAUUAUUUUAUAUCAUGUAAAAGUUAAAACAAGAAGAUAUUUAAAUAUGUAUCUUAAUUCCCUACCUGAUUGCAUUAGAGAUGAAUAUACAUUAUCAUCAUAUGAUUCAAAUGAUUACUGCUCUGAAUCCGUGAGGAGAUUCACUACUUCGGAUAGGAAGGAACUGAUAUUUUUUUAGCAUCUGCCAGAUACUUUAUAAACGUAAGUUCAUUUAAUGGCUUAGCACAUGAGGUGGAUAUCACAUGGCCCCAUUUUACGAUGAGGAAAUUAAGAUUCAGAGGGGUUGGGUCACUUUCUGAGGUCACAUAAAUAGCAUAUGAUUGAGCUGGCAUUUGACUUGGGGUCUGUGUGUCUACAAAUCCAGUGCUUUGUCUUCACACCACACCACUGCUGGAGGCCUACAGAAUUAUAAGGAACCCAAAUGAGACAGGGAAAUGCACACAACCUUACUCUAUAACUGCACCUAAACCAUGCCAGGCUAUUGAGUGUUGACUGCUAGUCCCCCCAUAGCUCCAGGAAAGGGAAUGACUCAUCUGUUUAGAAACUCCCAUACAACAAUCCUUACUAGAACUUACCACUAAACCAAAAUCUUGAGUUUGUAAAUACAACAAGCAGUUGUCAUCACCCUGAGACAAAACAAAUUUCCUUACUUUUGGUGAUUAUUAGGUCCUUAAAUAUAUUUUAUGUAGUUAAAUAAUUUAAUUUAUUUUUGUUUGCCUUAACCAAAGUUAUACAAGCUCAUGGUUUAAAUAAGCUUUAAAUAAGGUUUGAUAUAAAAAAUAAUGGUCCCUUGUACCUCCUCUCAAUAUAUUUCUCUCCACUCCAAAGGCGGCCACAUUCAAUGUUUUCAGCAAUUUUGUUUUGUUCGUUUGAUUAAUUUGUUGGUUGGUAGUUUUGAUGUUUACUUCCACAACUUUUUAAUGCUAUAUUUGCUUAUGUUACUAAUUUGAUUUUUCAAGUGUAGGCAUUUUCCGUGACUUCUCACUGUGAAAUACAAGGGCACAGCUUUCUUUCACCACCCUCUCCCACCCCAUCCCACACAUCCACCCUUCCCAUCUUUUCAUCUACUUACUAUCUUUACAUCAAAAUUUUGAUUAGAUUAAUACUUAGUAUUUAUGUUAGUUAUAGUGAAGCUCUGUAGUAUAUAUAAUUCUUCUUUUUGUUUUGGCCAAAACUUUUGCUUCCCUGGAGUUGGUUUUUGUUGGUUUUAGCAAAUAUUCUCUGUGUAUAUCACUAAUUUAACCCCAAACUCUCCAUCAAAUGCUUAACAUUUUUUCUUUCUUUUCUUUCUCUCUUUCUUCCUCUUUCCUUCCUUCCUUCUUUCUCUUUCCAUUUUUCUUUAUUUUUCUUUCUCUCCUUCUUUCUUUUGAGAUGGGGGUCUUGCUAUGAUGCCCAGGCUAGAGUGCAGUGGCUAUUCAAAAGCAUGAUCAUAGUGUACUGCAGCCUAGAACUUCCAGGCUCAAGCCACUUUCCUGCCUCAGCCUCUCAAUUAACUGGGAUUACAGGCAUGUGUUACCAUGCCCUUUUUCUUAAAAUAUUCAGAUGCAUCAGGAAUUCUUUUAUUUUUACCCUCCUGAAAAAUAUCUCCCCUUACACCUUAUAACAUGCAUUACCUGGACAGAUGGCCCUGGACACCAGGUGCACACUUGCUACCUGGGACGUCCCUUGCUUAUGUCCUGGGAACUCCCUUUGCCUGUCUCUUGUAUUCAUUGCCUUCCUUUAUAUUGGCUUCAUAUCCUCAUUUUGGUGGAGCACAUCCUUGAGUAGCUUCUGAGAAUGAAAACAUGAGAGGUAAAAUAUUUUGAGACCUUACAUGACUAAAAUUCAACUUAUUUUCUAUGUUUUCACAUUCCUAAAUUUCUAACCUUUAAUUAUUUUCUAUAUUCUCUAAAUCUCAUACAAUUUGUUACAAAUCUCUUAAACUGGUGGGACUGAGACUGACCAUAGUAUUCCAGUAAUAGUCUGAAGAAUGUAAUACAAGAAUUAUUAAUACUUUGUGAUUCUGAAUUUGGUCUUCUAAAUUCCUCCCUGACACAGUUGCAUACUGCAGUUACAGUGCAUUUGUCUUUUCUCCCCACAUGUGUUCCUAUUUAGGAUCAACACCUCUCAAUUUUUCUAAGGUCAUUUUAAAUUCCAUUCUUAUGUUCUGAAGUGCUAAUAACCCUGUCUCUUAACAUCAGCCAUACUGAGCUUCAUAAAUAUCAUAAAAAUUACUGAUAAAGUACACAAUAUAUAAUACUUCUAGACCCUCAAACCUGCUGCCAUUACUUCUAAUGGCCAAUUUAAAAUGAUUCCAAACCACUAAAUAAUGAGAAAGCUUGACACAUAUGACCAAAUUAUUUCUUCAUAAAGAAAAGAAUGUUUUGUGGUUGAGUAUCAAGAUGUCUGAGUUCUGGGGGAUUUAUCCUAUUGUUUUUCCAAGGGUGUUCAGCCUCUACCUUUCAAAGGCAAUCUCUUUCCUUAUUUAAAAAAUUAGGCAGCAUAUAUAGCUCUUUUUCCAUACCACAAGCAUUCAUCCUGUUAAUACUAAACAGGUUUAUAAUUACAGAGGCAGCAAGGCAUAGUGAAAGAGUACUUACUUCAAGAGUAAGAAGACUAAUGCUAGUAAUGCUUUCCUAUGAUCCAAUAUUUGUUGGAGAUAUUAUCCAUCAAAUAUGUUUGAUGGAUUUAUUAAUCCAUCAAAUAGGUGCUCAAAUGGAACACCUAUUAUGUGCCAGGUACUGUGCUAGGUACUGGAACUACAGAAUGAAAAAGAUAGACAUGGUCCCAGUCCUUGUUUAAGGGACAACAGAUACUGGGCAAGUAAUAACAAGUUGAGCAUUAUAACUUAACCUCCAUGAGACUCAGUUUCCUGUGUAAAAUAAGGAAAAUAAUAACUGCACCCCAUAUGUUCAAAUGAGGUCAUAUUGUAGAAAAAACUUUAUAAGCUCUCUUUUUCCAGAUGAACUACAGGCAUCUUCUACUAGCUUUUGAUUUUCC